UACGGAGGGAGCUAGCGUUGUUCGGAAUUACUGGGCGUAAAGCGCACGUAGGCGGCUUUUCAAGUCAGGGGUGAAAUCCCGGGGCUCAACCCCGGAACUGCCUCUGAAACUGGAUGGCUAGAAUCUUGGAGAGGCGAGUGGAAUUCCGAGUGUAGAGGUGAAAUUCGUAGAUAUUCGGAAGAACACCAGUGGCGAAGGCGACUCGCUGGACAAGUAUUGACGCUGAGGUGCGAAAGCGUGGGGAGCAAACAGG
This 253-nucleotide unclassified non-coding RNA is filed under the name uncultured Sphingomonadaceae bacterium. Its description in RNAcentral is "contains 16S-23S intergenic spacer region". It matches the Rfam family "Bacterial small subunit ribosomal RNA", at positions 524 to 776 of the family's 1533-position model. The record is from RNAcentral. Lineage: Bacteria; Pseudomonadati; Pseudomonadota; Alphaproteobacteria; Sphingomonadales; Sphingomonadaceae.